UCCACCUGAACCUAGUAGUGCGCUAGGGUAGCGAACCUCAAGGUCGAUUCUGUACUCUCUCUGUCUAUCUCUCUCUCCUAAGGUUUAAAGUUGGAGACCUUGAAGACAUUAUUUCCCUAUGCUGACAACUUAAUAAUUGUGUUGUUACACAGUACAGUUAAAUUAUGUAUGGGUGCGUAGUAUAUGCACACCAACUUAAUAUUUAGAUUGCACGUGGGCAUCAAGCCAAUAUGUGCAAGUUCGAAGCUUUAAGUAGACUAUAUGAUACUUUAUCAACUCCACUGUGUAUGUCGAUGCUGCGCAUCUGGUGAAUUAUACGAAUUAAG
Molecule: long non-coding RNA, 326 nt
Organism: Centruroides sculpturatus (bark scorpion)
Lineage: Eukaryota; Metazoa; Arthropoda; Arachnida; Scorpiones; Buthidae
Exons: 2
Source: RefSeq, a predicted model, not a curated record